Long non-coding RNA from Xiphophorus couchianus (Monterrey platyfish), 264 nucleotides. RefSeq lists it as uncharacterized. The transcript has 2 exons. NCBI's taxonomy places the organism in Eukaryota, Metazoa, Chordata, Actinopteri, Cyprinodontiformes, Poeciliidae. The record is from RefSeq and is a predicted model, not a curated record.
GUUCGUCCAGGCUGCCCUGCAAUAAAGAUCCUUAGUUUACAGUCUUUCCACUUCUUCCUGGUGGUGAGGAUGUAGGGGAGCAACAGCGUCAGACCUGAGAGAAGGAAACAUAAGGAGGAUCUGAUGUCUGUCCCGAUGAAUCCGUCACACUGUGAGAAAUGUACCAACCAGAAGGGAAGUGACACCUACCUCCAUCAUCAAACAGCCACCACACGUCAAUGGUGCCUUUAGGCUGUUUCUUUUUAAAUUGACCACUGGCCUCCA